GGCAAAUCUAGAAAUGUUUAAGGACUAGAGGUUGAAGGUGGUGGGGAGAAAAAUGGAAUGGAGGGGAAAGUGGUUGGGAUUGAAGGAAGGUUUGGAAGUGAAGUGACUGCUGGCAAUGGUGGAAUGUUGAGAGAUGGAAUUGUUGGAAUAUUUGUAGGAAGACUUGGAAGUGGUGGCAUAGUGAGUUUAGGCAUAGAAGGGAUAGUAGGCAAUGGAGGAAGAUUUCCUUGAGGCAUAUUUGGAAUUGAAGGUAAAGGUGGUAAUGUUGUUGGUUUUGGUAAAGUGGGAAUGGUUGGUAAAUUUGGUUGUGUGGUAGUUUGCAAAAGAUGGCGAGCUUCUAGGCUCAUGUUUGAUAUUGUCACAACUAGAAGUAAAGUUGUGAUGAAGGAUUUGAAUAUUGCCAUUGAUAGUUUGAUGAGGAAUAAUUGUAGGAGCUAAGGAGAGUAUAUUUUGUAUAGAGAGAAUUUGAUUUGGGAUUUGAUGAGAAGCAUAGGGAUAGUGGGUGGUCUUAUAUAGAUUGAGAUAGAUUUGAAGGAGGGUAGUUCGGAAGAACCAUCAAGAGCUUUUGCAAUUUUUAGUUAGUUCAACUUAUUGGGUUUCACUUUGACAAAAGGGAGCCAAUUAAUUAUAAAUAUAAAUACACUAAAAUACCAUUUUUUUUAAAUUACAUAUUCGAUAGUCCCUACAUCCUAUAAUCAUACUAAUAACAAAGGUUAAUAUGUUAAUUGUUUUCUUCUUAUCAGGACUUGAAUCUAGGACCUUCAAUUCAUUAAUUCUUAACUCAAAUCAGUUUAGUAAAUGAUAUAAGAGAAGAUUACAAGAAUUGGAAGGAAAGAAAUAAGAAUAAUAAAUAUUUAUGGGCAUAGUAUUUUUUUAAUAAUAUUGUUAAACAAAAUAUAGAAUGUGAUUUUUUUUGUUGUUAAAAUUAUGUAUAUAUAGUUGGGAAAUUAUAGACAAAUAGUAUGUCAACCUUUAUUUUAGGGGAAAUUGUAUAUCAGCCUAACUUAAGUUAUAUUUAAGAACAACGCUUAAAAAAAAUGGUCUAAUGUUUAAAAAAAUUUAAUCUUUAUUGAAUUCAUGAACAUCGUUGGAUUAAACAGAGUUGAUUGAUUGUACAAAAACAAAGUUGGUUGAUAAGUGAAAUACUAGCAUAAAAAAGCAAAUUUAAGGUGAGUUUUGAAAACAGGGACAACUCAAAUCAGAUUACCAACUCAUAGAGAUUAUUAUUUUGCAACGACAUUUUUUUCUCUUUUGCAAUUUAAAAUAUAUAGAAUAUAAAGAGUUGGCCAUCACAUUGGACUAUUUUGGGGUUAUAACUAAUGUAGGCAACCAAAUGCUUUUGUCAAAGUGAAACACAGGAAGUUGAACUAACUUAAAAUUGCAAAAGCUCUUAUAGUUCUCCAAACAACUCUCCUUCAAAUCUCUCUCACUCUAUAUAAGACCAUCCACUACCCCUUUCCUUCUCAUCAAAUCCAAAAGCAAAUUCUCUCUAUACAAAUACAGUCCUUAGCUCCUACAAUUCAUCAAGUUAUCAAUGGCCUCAACCAAAUCCUUCAUUGCAACUUUACUUCUUGUUGUCACAAUGUCAAGCAUGAGCCUAGAAGCUCGCCAUCUUUUGCAAACUACCACACAACCAAAUUUACCAGCCAUUCCCACUUUACCAAAACCAACAACAUUACCACCUUUACCUUCAAUUCCAAAUAUGCCUCAAGGAAAUCUUCCUCCAUUGCCUACUAUCCCUUCUAUGCCUAAACUCACUAUGCCACCACUUCCAAGUCUUCCUACAAAUAUUCCAACAAUUCCAUCUCUCAACAUUCCACCAUUGCCAGCAGUCACUUCACUUCCAAACCUUCCUUCAAUCCCAACCACUUUCCCCUCCCCACCACCUUCAACCUCUAGCCCUUAAACACUUCUUUCCAAGUUGCAUUAUGUGAUCAGCUAAAUACAUGCAAUAGACAUUGCAUCAUUUCUUGAUUGUGUGUGAUGAAAUUGUACGAGGUUAUGAUGAUUGUUGUAUCUUUGUUUUAUUGUACGGAGUAAAAAGCCUUUGUAUUUUUUUCUUUUCUACUUACCAGUUUGGUACUAUUGCUUGUACUUUUGAAUUUAAUUUAUUGAUGUUGAAUACACAUACACAUUUAUAUACAAUUAUGAUGAAUUCUUUCUUGUUUAUGACCACUAUAUCUCAUAAAGGAUAGACUAAACUUAAUAAUUUGCGGUCCAAUAACAAACAGAUUCGCCUAUGUUAGCCAAUUUAUAUAGUGAACUGUUCUCUUUCCAUUUGUUUUUGUUCAUUCACCUCGAACAUGAGUUAACUCAAGUUGAAAAAUACACCUACGUGAGUUAACUCACGUUGAAAAUGCACAUGUGUGAGUUAACUUACGCUCGGUUAUUUUGAUGGGAACGAGCAAAAACAGAUAGGAGAAGGGCGAUAACCAUUUAUAUAAGGCACUUUCUUUUUCUCAUCCUAUUAAUUUAAGAUCAUCCACAAGAGAGCACCCCACAUUGGGUGCUUAAGUGAGUCCCCUAUGUCCACAUCAUCAAUUUUAUGAUAAUACUUAAUAAGCAUCAAUUUUUUCCAAUCGAGUACCUCAAAAGAAAUUAUUAAAAGGUCCCACAAAUAACUCUAUAUUAUUACAUUUCUACCAAAAUUUAUUCAUUUUACUAAGAUUUAUUAGAUGGGACCCAUGAAAAAUGAAGAGAGAGAGAGAGGGGUGGAGGGUGCUUCUAUAGCCACCCUCCUCCAUAGACACCCAUAUGUUACACUCCACAAUGAGGGUGCUUAUUUAAUAUGGUGCACGUGCUAAAUAGGUGAAACACCCACCAUUGUGGAUGGUCUUACACAUCCUAUAGAUUUCGGAUUUUAUAAAUCGUAUGAUUUUAUAAAAAUACGACACCUGACACCCCUAUAAUAUGGGAGAGGAUCCAAUUCCUUGAUGAGGAAUGAUUUAUGGACACAUUUUUCAAACACAAACACCUAAAGCAUACGAUUAAAGAGCUCCUUUAUAUGAAGCAUAGACCACCCACUCUUGUUUCUUUUCAUUAUGAAAUUAUGAAAAGAUAACAAGAGGAUGAUUAAUAAGCCCAAUCUGUUAUUUUAUUUUUUAAUUUUAUUCACUUAUUUUAUUUUUAUCACUUUAUAUUAGUUUUUCACAUAAAAUUUCAUUUCCUUAUAAAAUUUUGUGUAAUCAUUACUUGAUCAAAAAUAACAUAUUAUAUUUAUAAGAUAAGAUUUUUAUUUUUAUAAUCCUUAAUCAAUGCCAUGAGGGCACUGGAAAGCAAAUAUGUAGAAUUUUUAAUGGAUUAAAAAUCGAAUAAAUUUUUAACCCUUUUUUUUAAGCCAAAUUAUUAGUAUUAAAAGAAACUUUUUAAGUCAGUUGCUUUGAGACAAAAAUGAAAAAUUUAUCUAUAUUUUCGUCCUCUUCCUUGAAAGUCUUUCACUAAUCCGGUAAAUAUAAUUAGUUUGUAAAUUAGCAUUGGACAGAAGGAAAUAAUAAAGUGGUAAAUGUCUUUCACUCCCCUCCCGUGUGAAGUUAGUGUAGCACGGGGACGGGUUCAAUCAAUCAUUCAUUCAUUUUAAUCAAUUCUUCACCCCAUUCUAACACAUGUUUUUCAGGAUAGAACCAACCAUGUCAUCAACAGCACAAUCCCAAUAAAACCCCAAUUCACCACAAUUACCAAACUCUCCUCUCCUCUCCUCUCGCCACUGUCAACUGACACUGAUGACGUAAAAUUCCACCAUUAUCAUCAAAACUCCAUUAUCGUCAAUUCACCACCACCACCGCUAUGGAGGGUGGAAACAGAGCUGAAGCUGAACGGUGGCUUUACACCGCCAACAAACUCCUAAGCGCACGUGAUCUGCACGGUGCACGCUCCUUCGCGAUCCGUGCCCGAGAAUCCGACCCAACCUUCGACGCCUCUGAGCUUCUCUUAGCUGUCAUCGACACUCUCCUCGCCGGAGAAUCACGGAUCAAUGAUCACCACCGUGAUUGGUACGGAAUUCUUCAAAUUCUCCGAUACACCACCAACAUCGACCACAUCGCGAAUCAGUAUCGCCGACUUGCUCUCCUCCUUGACCCUAAUCGUAACCCAUUCGCUUUCUCCGGUCAUGCUUUCUCCCUUGUUCAUGAUGCUUGGUCUGUUCUUUCAAAUCCUGCUAAGAAAGCUAUGUACGAUAGUGAUCUAAGGUUGCUCACUACACCACCGGUUCCGUCACAGCCUCAGCCACAACUGGCUCCUCAGUAUCAACAACCUCCACAACAGCCACUGCAGCAGCCUCCACAGCCAACGCCGAGGAAAAACUCUAGAUCGAGGGAUAGCACUGGCGCCACCGCCACCGAGCCGACACUGUCUCGACAGAAUCGGAACCCUAGCGAGGCAGGUGAGACGACUCGGCAGACGCGAAUAGCGAGUGCUGCUGAAACGGUAGGUAACAUAAGUUUUUGGACAUUGUGCCCUUACUGUUACGUUCACUAUGAGUAUCCGAAGGAGUAUGAAGAUUGUACCUUACGGUGUCAGAGUUGUCGGAGGGGGUUUCAUGCGGUUGUGAUACGUUCACCGCCGGUGAAUGAGAUAGAUUCUUCGUUUUGUACUUGGGGAUUUUUUCCAUUAGGGUUUUCUGGUGAUUCUAAAGAUUUGAAUGGGGCUUCUUCCAAUUGGAACCCUAUUGCACCGUUGUUUCCGUGUACGAUGAAAGGAUCGUCUAAUAGGAAAAAGAAUUGGGUUUAUUAUGAUGAAGAGGCAACUGCGGCGUUUAUUGAUAUUUCUGAUCCCAGUGAUAAUGAUUCUGAUGAUGGGGAUUGGAGAGGUGGUGCUGGUAAGAGGAGAGGGGUGAAGAGCUCAGGGGUUAGUACUAGUAAAAAGAUUAGGAAAGAUUCCGGUAAUGCUAGUGGUAGGGGAGCUGUUGGGAGACCUAGGAGGAGUGCUACUGGUGCUGCAUCUGGGAAUGAGAAGAAUGUUGGGGCUGUUGAUGAUGCUUCUGCCGCUGCCUCUGGUGUAAGGGCAGAUGCCAAUACCAUUAAGAAAGCUGCACUGGGUAGUUCCAGGAGGAGGGGUGCUGGAAACUUGGAUUUGAAUGUGGAGUUCAGUAAUGAUGUGGAGGAGCCGUCCCGUGGAGUGCGUGCCCGUGAAGGGAAUGCAACUGGCAAUGCUGAGGAUAAUAUUGAUGGGGUUGGGUUUUUUGAGGGUCUUGAUGAGUUCCUUAGUAGCUUACCCAUUCUCAAUCCGGUGGGAGAUGAUAAGGUUAAGGGUCAUUAGCCAUUUUGUAAUUUAGAUGCUUUUACUUUUUUAUUUUCGUAGACCAUAGAUGUUAUUACUUGUAUGUUUGCAAUUGUAGCUCAAAAUGAUCUGAGCUAUUGUGAAUUCUUGUUGUUGUUAGAUUUUAUUUAAAAUUAUGACAGCAUCUCAGUACAUUAUAGCUUUUGAAGUAUUUGAGGAUUGCUUCAUGACAUGUAGAUUAUAUUGUACCAUUAAGGAAGGAGACAUAGAUUGUUUUUUUUUUAAAGAAAGUCAGGUACACACUCUCUCAAUAACAGGGCAAUAAUGAGUGUAUUUCGGAGUUUUACCUAGCCCUAAACUCCGCUUUGUAUGCGCGGCAAUCCAGAUAAUAAUAUAUACAUUUGUAUUGUCUGAUCUGAUUGUGCUCUACACUAUGCUUGUUAGCAACUAUUUUGUACACAACAUUCACCAUCACAUGCUAGUUUUUUUUUUUUUUUUUGGAUAUUUUGUUUUUAUUUAGCUCUGUUGUUUUCUUCUUGAGUGUUGUGUGGUGUGGCUUUGCUCUGUUGUAAGUUUGAGGUCACCAGCAAGUCUAGUCUUCUUUUCGUUUCAUCACAUCCUUUUCAAGUCUGUUUGGUCCAGGCUUGAAAACACCAAGCCUUUGUUUUAAAAGGCAGUUUCUGGGUGCAGUGAUAUCUGUUAGGUCAUUGGUCUUGUUAGGCUGUUAGCCAAUGUUUUAGCAUUUUCAACUGCUAACAGUUUAACCAACUUGCAUUUGCUUGUGUCUCCAAUAUGACAUUGGUUUUUUCAGCUAAUUUUGAAUUGCUGGGUUUAUGGAUCAUGGUUUUUCUAUUUCCAAAAUUUUAGUGGAUGAGUAAUGAUUUUUCAGUUUAAACAUUAGGUUCUGAAUCCUGAUGAAGCAUUUUGCCAGGUGCUAAUAAGCAAUUUAUUUAGAGUUAUUUUCUUGACUGCAAUCGUAAAUGAGGUCAGAAUAAGUUGUAUGCUCUAUCGGCAUUACAUAAGGUGUCAUCUACAAUAAUACCUUAUCAUGAACAGGGAUCUUCGAAGGUGUUUAAUGAAUAUUUGAAAGAAUCACCUUUGUUCAAUGGUGUGUUUUGUUAAUUUGCCGGCAUUUCAUGUAGGGAUGUGGUGGAUAUUAUCUUUGUAUAGAUGGUUUAUAUUCUGUCUUAACUAAAUGGUACAAUAUUCUUAUAUGUUGUGCUCUAACUCAGUAGCAUACUAGGUCUAAGCAAAGAAUACAUCUUUGUGAGGCCCCUAAAUAGAUUGAAGAAACAUAAGAACAUUGAGAUUCCUUGUUACUUGUUCUCACAUUUGAAAGAAAGGUUGUUAGGGGCAACGUCUAUAGUGGAGAAAAUACAAGCACUUAUAUGCUGUGUUCUAAGAAGCAUACUGGGUCUAAGCAAAAUAUAUAUCUCUGUGAGGCACCUAAAUAGAUUGAAGAUACAUAGGAGCAUAUAGAUUUGGCAUCUAUUGUUGAGAAGAUCAUAGAAUCUCAAACUAAGUGAUUUGGGUAAGUGUAAAGUUCUAUAUAAGCCCUGUAAGGAGAGGCAGAGGGAGACCUUGAAGCUUGAAGAAUAUAAAUCAAUCCACUUAGCUUAUGUUUGGUGAGUUGCAUGGACGUAUGUCGUCACCGUGACUUUUCAUUCUUCAAAACAUACACUAAGAAGAAUUUGGAUCCAAAUGGUAAAAACUCAUCCUCGUAGGACAUUAUGACAUCAUUUUAUACACACACUAUAGAACGACACAAUGAAUGUAUAUUAUUUAUUCUGCAUAUUUGUAUGCUGUUUGCAUGUUGUUUAUUCUAGCCUAUAUGUAUGUGUCUUGCUGUGAAUAUGAAGGAUUGUGUUAGAACAUCCUAAACUACACUUCAAGCAUGUUGAUUUGAAAUUAUUUAUCUCAGUAUGCUGAACGCUUAGGUACCCUGAAAGUACCAACAAUCGGUUUAUUUCUGGGUUUUACUACUCUGUAUAUGGCCACACUAGUUUAAGUAGAUUGUUAGACAUUGCUUUGCAAAGAAAAUGGUUGUAAAUCUGUGUAUGGCAUCUAUUGAAGACAAAAUAUAUUCGUCCUAUAAUACUUGUCUCUUCUAAUUUUUUUGGGUGCAUAAUUAAUGCCUCUGUUUGAAGGAUGCGUAUCUCCUGCAGUCUCAAAAACACUGUAUUUACACAAUCAAGUUAUCCUCCUCCAACGAUGCACAUUAGUUUGUUUGUUGUUAUAAGAGUUUAAAAGAAGACAUUGUAGCUGUAUCUAAAUGUGUAAUUCAACAUCAAUAAUAUAAAAUUCAAUAGUACAAGCAAUAGUGCCAAACUGGUAAGUAGAAAGAAAGAAAACAAAUACAAAGGCUUUUUACUCCGUACAAUACAACAAAGAUACUACAAUCAUCAUAACCUCGUAGAAUUUCAUCACACACAAUCAAGAAAUGAUACAAUGUCUAUUGCAAGUAUUUAGCUGAUCGCAUAAUGCAACUUGGAAAGAAGUGUUUAAGGGCUAGAUGUUGAAGGUGGUGGGGAGGGGAAAGUGGUUGGGAUUGAAGGAAUGUUGGGAAGUGAAGUGGCUGCUGGCAAUGGUGGAAUGUUGAGAGAUGGAAUUGUUGGAAAAUUUGUAGGAAAGCUAGGAAGUGGUGGCAUAGUGAGUUUAGGCAUAGAAGGGAUAGUAGGCAAUGGAGGAAGAUUUCCCUGAGGCAUAUUUGGAAUUGAAGGCAAAGGUGGUAAUGUAGUUGGAUUUGGUAAAUUGGGAAUGUUAGGCAAAUUUGGUUGUGUUGUCUGUAAAAGAUGGCGAGCUUCUAGGCUCAUGCUUGACAUGGUCACAACAAGAAGUAAAGCUAUGAUGAAGGAUUUGCUUGAUGCCAUUGAUAACCUUAUGAAUUGAUAGGAGCUAAGCAGUAUAUUUGUAU
RNAcentral lists this long non-coding RNA (8128 nucleotides) under Medicago truncatula (barrel medic). RNAcentral describes it as "long non-coding RNA (MTRU_LNC002225)". The record is from RNAcentral. Lineage: Eukaryota; Viridiplantae; Streptophyta; Magnoliopsida; Fabales; Fabaceae.